GACGAACGCUGGCGGCGUGCUUAACACAUGCAAGUCGAACGGAAAGGCCCUGCUUUUGUGGGGUGCUCGAGUGGCGAACGGGUGAGUAACACGUGAGUAACCUGCCCUUGACUUUGGGAUAACUUCAGGAAACUGGGGCUAAUACCGCAUAGGAGCUCCUGCUGCAUGGCGGGGGUUGGAAAGUUUCGGCGGUUGGGGAUGGACUUGCGGCUUAUCAGCUUGUUGGUGGGGUAGUGGUUUACCAAGGCUUUGGCGGGUAGCCGGCCUGAGAGGGUGACCGGCCCCAUUGGGACUGAGAUACGGCCCAGACUCCUACGGGAGGCAGCAGUGGGGAAUAUUGCACAAUGGGCGGAAGCCUGAUGCAGCAACGCCGCGUGCGGGAUGACGGCCUUCGGGUUGUAAACCGCUUUCGCCUGUGACGAAGCGUGAGUGACGGUAAUGGGUAAAGAAGCACCGGCUAACUACGUG
RNAcentral lists this ribosomal RNA (468 nucleotides) under uncultured bacterium. RNAcentral describes it as "partial 16S ribosomal RNA". It matches the Rfam family "Bacterial small subunit ribosomal RNA", at positions 28 to 507 of the family's 1533-position model. The record is from RNAcentral.